UUGGCGGGGUGCUAUACAUGCAAGUCGAACGCACUUCGGUUUUUGAUUGACGGUGCUUGCACCAGAUUGACGAGACAUUGAAGUGAGUGGCGAACGGGUGAGUAACACGUGGGUAACCUGCCCUAAAGGGGGGGAUAACAUUUGGAAACAGAUGCUAAUACCGCAUAACAACGAAAACCACAUGGUUUUCGCUUGAAAGAUGGUUUCGGCUAUCACUUUAGGAUGGACCCGCGGUGCAUUAGCUAGUUGGUAAGGUAACGGCUUACCAAGGCAAUGAUGCAUAGCCGAGCUGAGAGGCUGAUCGGCCACAUUGGGACUGAGACACGGCCCAGACUCCUACGGGAGGCAGCAGUAGGGAAUCUUCCACAAUGGGCGCAAGCCUGAUGGAGCAACGCCGCGUGAGUGAAGAAGGGUUUCGGCUCGUAAAACUCUGUUGUUAAAGAAGAACGUAUCUGAGAGUAACUGUUCAGAUAGUGACGGUAUUUAACCAGAAAGCCACGGCUAACUACGUGCCAGCAGCCGCGGUAAUACGUAGGUGGCAAGCGUUAUCCGGAUUUAUUGGGCGUAAAGGGAGUGCAGGCGGUUAUUUAAGUCUGAUGUGAAAGCCUUCGGCUUAACCGGAGAAGGGCAUCGGAAACUGGAUAACUUGAGUGCAGAAGAGGGUAGUGGAACUCCAUGUGUAGCGGUGGAAUGCGUAGAUAUAUGGAAGAACACCAGUGGCGAAGGCGGCUACCUAGUCUGUAACUGACGCUGAGGCUCGAAAGCAUGGGUAGCAAACAGGAUUAGAUACCCUGGUAGUCCAUGCCGUACACGAUGAAUACUAGGUGUUAGGGGGGUUUCCGCCCCUUAGUGCCGCAGCUAACGCAAUAAGUAUUCCGCCUGGGGAGUACGACCGCAAGGUUGAAACUCAAAGGAAUUGACGGGACCCGCACAAGCGGUGGAGCAUGUGGUUUAAUUCGAAGCUACGCGAGAAUCUUUACCAGGCUUGACAUCUUCUGCUAAUCCGAGAGAUCGGACGUUCUCUUCGGGGACGAAAGAUCUGUGCAUGUGUCGUCAGCUCGUGUCGUGAGAUGUUGGUUAAGUCCCGCACGAGCGCACCUUAUGAUAGCUGCCAGCAUAGUGGCACUCUUAAUGAAGACUGCCGGUAACAACCGAAGAAGGUGGGGAACGACUCAUCAUCAUGUCCUUUAUGUUCCUGGCCUACACACAGGUGUCUUCC
Molecule: ribosomal RNA, 1219 nt
Filed under: Furfurilactobacillus rossiae
Lineage: Bacteria; Bacillati; Bacillota; Bacilli; Lactobacillales; Lactobacillaceae
Description: bacterial SSU rRNA
Rfam family: Bacterial small subunit ribosomal RNA
Source: RNAcentral